Camelus dromedarius (Arabian camel) is the source of this 319-nucleotide long non-coding RNA. RefSeq lists it as uncharacterized. NCBI's taxonomy places the organism in Eukaryota, Metazoa, Chordata, Mammalia, Artiodactyla, Camelidae. The transcript is spliced from 3 exons. The record is from RefSeq and is a predicted model, not a curated record.
UUUAGCCUUUCUGCUGAUGGAAGCGAAAAGUGUCAAGCAGUGCUGAGGACACGCUGGGAGGACUGGAAAGAGGGAUCUUGCUGCUGUCGAGGAUGCCACACGUGUUACAAGAGGACGGUGGAUGUGAUGUCCGGCAUCGCCAAAAAGCAUGCAAGACGCUCAGGACCAGUUCUGGAGGUUUUGGACACAGAGGAGCUUCUGAUCAAUAUAUCUUUAAAGCUGAAAACAAGAGAAGCAACAUGAAGCUGUGAUUUUGUAGGGUCUGGGGCCCUGGACUGCCUGGAUGUUCUUUCUAAAGUCUGCCAUUGGUACCCUGCCA